UCGUUGACACUCACUAAAUAUUUUUACUUUCCAAUAAUUAUGACGAUUAGUGUCUCUCAGGGCUCAAACCUCCAAAGUUAUUCUUUUACUCGUAUCGAGAAUGGGAUUUCAGUGGGCACUUUACCGUUUUCAGGCGGUGGACGUGUCGUCGUCGACACAGACCGCAGAAGCAUUUCAUUAAACCCAAACGAUAACAGUAUUUUUUGUAUGUUCAACAUAACAUUUGAAGUGGACAUGACAGCAACCAGCGGUCAACAAUCGGAGACUCUUAAGGUCACAAUUGACGACGAAUACAUAUUGGAAAUGUCAUUUCCCACUGGAUCAGGGAAAAAUAUCGUCAGCGAUAUUAAUGCUAUUCGGCAACACUUCAAUCUUCCACCACAAUUGCAAUAAAAGUACUACCUAUGAGAAGGAUCAACUUGUACAAUCAUGUCUAUCCGUAAAAAUCAAUCUGCAUCAUCAUGUUACAUAUAACAGGGAGCAUGAAAUUAUUUGUUUUUGUAAUUAAAUAGUAAACGGUAAUUGAAUUUGUAAUUGAAUAGUAUAGCGAGCACUUUUUAUCUUUAGAUGAUUUGAUAAGUAUUUAUAAUGAUCUUAUUCUGAAAAUUGUAAUUUCUCGUGUUAAAAAAUUGGAGCUACUAUUUUCUGUCAAAUAGUUUAUAAUAAUUGUAUCUCUAGAAUGUUGUGCGACUCCGGGAAGUCAGGUCUUUACGAUAUUUAUAGAUUUAUAACCAUUUGGAAACUGCAAAUAAUUUUUCAAGGGUUUUGUGAUACAUAAUUUUCACCGAUUUCACACCGAUUUCACACCGAUUUUAGUUUUUGCUACUUUUAAUAUAAUUAUAUUACCGUUA
This is a long non-coding RNA of Folsomia candida, 851 nucleotides long. RefSeq lists it as uncharacterized. The record is from RefSeq and is a predicted model, not a curated record. Lineage: Eukaryota; Metazoa; Arthropoda; Collembola; Entomobryomorpha; Isotomidae. The transcript has 2 exons.